UGAGGAAUAUUGGUCAAUGGACGCAAGUCUGAACCAGCCAUGCCGCGUGCAGGAUGACGGCUCUAUGAGUUGUAAACUGCUUUUGUACGAGGGUAAACGCAGAUACGUGUAUCUGUCUGAAAGUAUCGUACGAAUAAGGAUCGGCUAACUCCGUGCCAGCAGCCGCGGUAAUACGGAGGAUUCAAGCGUUAUCCGGAUUUAUUGGGUUUAAAGGGUGCGUAGGCGGUUUGAUAAGUUAGAGGUGAAAUUUCGGGGCUCAACCCUGAACGUGCCUCUAAUACUGUUGAGCUAGAGAGUAGUUGCGGUAGGCGGAAUGUAUGGUGUAGCGGUGAAAUGCUUAGAGAUCAUACAGAACACCGAUUGCGAAGGCAGCUUACCAAACUAUAUCUGAUGUUGAGGCACGAAAGCGUGGGGAGCAAACAGGAUUAGAUACCCUGGUAGUCCACGCAGUAAACGAUGAUAACUCGUUGUCGGCGAUACACAGUCGGUGACUAAGCGAAAGCGAUAAGUUAUCCACCUGGGGAGUACGUUCGCAAGAAUGAAACUCAAAGGAAUUGACGGGGGCCCGCACAAGCGGAGGAACAUGUGGUUUAAUUCGAUGAUACGCGAGGAACCUUACCCGGGCUUGAAAGUUAGCGACGAUUCUUGAAAGAGGAUUUCCCUUCGGGGCGCGAAACUAGGUGCUGCAUGGUUGUCGUCAGCUCGUGCCGUGAGGUGUCGGGUUAAGUCCCAUAACGAGCGCAACCCCUACCGUUAGUUGCCAUCAGGUGAAGCUGGGCACUCUGGCGGGACUGCCGGUGUAAGCCGAGAGGAAGGUGGGGAUGACGUCAAAUCAGCACGGCCCUUACGUCCGGGGCUACACACGUGUUACAAUGGUAGGUACAGAGGGCAGCUACCCAGCGAUGGGAUGCGAAUCUCGAAAGCCUAUCUCAGUUCGGAUUGGAGGCUGAAACCCGCCUCCAUGAAGUUGGAUUCGCUAGUAAUCGCGCAUCAGCCAUGGCGCGGUGAAUACGUUCCC
RNAcentral lists this ribosomal RNA (1018 nucleotides) under uncultured organism. RNAcentral's name for it is "bacterial SSU rRNA". It matches the Rfam family "Bacterial small subunit ribosomal RNA", at positions 355 to 1375 of the family's 1533-position model. The record is from RNAcentral.